GUACACGCUGUGACUAGCAUAUCAAUAAGCGGAGGAAAAGAAACUAACAAGGAUUCCCCUAGUAACGGCGAGUGAAGCGGGAAGAGCUCAAAUUUGAAAUCUUAAAGGGUUUCCCUUUACGAAUUGUAGUUUAAAGAAGUGUUUUCUGUUGAGGUUUUGGUAAAAGUUCUUUGGAAUAGGACAUCAUAGAGGGGUGAGAAUCCCGUAUUUGACCUUUACUUUCAACUUUGUGAUACACUUUCAAAGAGUCGGAUUGUUUGGGAAUGCAGUCCAAAAUGGGUGGUAAAUUUCAUCUAAAGCUAAAUAUUGGCGAGAGACCGAUAGCGAACAAGUACCGUGAGGGAAAGAUGAAAAGAACUUUGAAAAGAGAGUUAAACAGUACGUGAAAUUGUCAAAGGGAAGCGUUUGACACCAGUGUUGUUUUUCUGAAAAUCAAUUAAAGAACUGUUUAUGCUAAGCUUGUUUAGACUUUAUCAGCUAUCUGUUUAGUUUUGAGCUUUUCUUUAAUGCACUUUUCAGUUAACAAGUCAACAUCAAUUUCUUUUGCUGUAAAAAAGCUUGAGGAAGGUGGCUUGAGAUUCGUCUUAAGUGUUUAUAGCCUCUUGCCUAUGCAGUCGGAGAGAUUGAGGUCUGCAGCGUAGAUCCUUCGGGGCUAAAUGCAUUUGUGCUAAGUUAUAGCAUUUUAUAGACAACUUGUUGACUAUGAUUUGUCUUGUAGCUUACUCGCUUAUGUUAUUUUACCUACGCUUAGGAUGUUAAAGAUGUAGCACAUCAU
This 775-nucleotide ribosomal RNA is filed under the name uncultured Neocallimastigales. RNAcentral's name for it is "partial large subunit ribosomal RNA". It matches the Rfam family "Eukaryotic large subunit ribosomal RNA", at positions 22 to 635 of the family's 3401-position model. The record is from RNAcentral. Lineage: Eukaryota; Fungi; Neocallimastigomycota; Neocallimastigomycetes; Neocallimastigales.